Melitaea cinxia (Glanville fritillary) is the source of this 452-nucleotide long non-coding RNA. RefSeq lists it as uncharacterized. The record is from RefSeq and is a predicted model, not a curated record. Lineage: Eukaryota; Metazoa; Arthropoda; Insecta; Lepidoptera; Nymphalidae. The transcript is spliced from 2 exons.
ACUGCGAAAAAUGUCGCCGUAACGGACAUACUACUGCAGCCUGUUGGUUUGGUGCUGGGACAUCGCGACCGCAAUUAAAUCAGAAUUUGGGGAUCAGCACUGGAGAACAGCAAAACAAGGACCGUGGGACACGGCCUACACAGGAUGGCCGAGUGUUAUCAAGUAUUCAAUAGUCGCUCAACGAUUAUGACGUAGUUAACAUUAAUUGUUAUGAUAUAGCUUAGUAAUUACAUAUUGUAUUAAUUUCUUAAAUCAAUAAUUAUUAUUCUUAUUUAUAAUUAUAUUCGUUUAACAUUAUAGAUGUAAGUUAAUCAAUAAUUAGCUUUGAUUUGACACAUCGAUAAAAUUGUAUAAAAAGGGUAGAUAAUCAUUUUAAGCAUUCUUUAUUAUUCGACUUGUUAACAACGUUACGCUGUUCAAAAAUAUAGACAGAUUGUGGUAAUCGCCUUGGC